This 62-nucleotide transfer RNA is filed under the name Geocharax gracilis. RNAcentral describes it as "tRNA-Ala". The record is from RNAcentral. Lineage: Eukaryota; Metazoa; Arthropoda; Malacostraca; Decapoda; Parastacidae.
UAGAACUGUAGUCAACCAUGACAUAUGAUUUGCACUCAUAAAGUGUUUAUCCAACCUGUUUU